Molecule: transfer RNA, 66 nt
Filed under: human gut metagenome
Also listed under: 1 other name
Rfam family: tRNA
About the family: Transfer RNA (tRNA) molecules are approximately 80 nucleotides in length.
Source: RNAcentral
UCGUAGCUCAGCUGGAUAGAGCACCGGACUUCUAAUCCGACGGUCGAGGGUUCGAAUCCCCCCGGG